CGGCACCUCAAGUGGUCAGGAUGAUUAUUGGGCCUAAAGCAUCCGUAGCCGGCGCUGUAAGUUUUCGGUUAAAUCUGUACGCUCAACGUACAGGCUGCCGGGAAUACUGCAGCGCUAGGGAGUGGGAGAGGUAGACGGUACUCGGUAGGAAGGGGUAAAAUCCUUUGAUCUAUUGAUGACCACCUGUGGCGAAGGCGGUCUACCAGAACACGUCCGACGGUGAGGGAUGAAAGCUGGGGGAGCAAACCGGAUUAGAGACCCGAGUAGUCC
This 270-nucleotide ribosomal RNA is filed under the name uncultured archaeon. RNAcentral's name for it is "partial 16S ribosomal RNA". It matches the Rfam family "Archaeal small subunit ribosomal RNA", at positions 477 to 747 of the family's 1478-position model. The record is from RNAcentral.